AUAUCUGCAGCUGUACAAAAGAAAGCUAAUGAGAAGAUCCAUGAUUAGGUUUUCCCAGGGUGAGGCUCGUCCCCUGCACUCUGGGUGUCCUGACCCCUGCUAUUUCCCCAAAUGCGGGAAACUCGACUGCAUAAUUUGUGGUAGUGGGGGACUCUGUUCGCAAUUUCUCUUG
Non-coding RNA from Anas platyrhynchos (mallard), 172 nucleotides. Lineage: Eukaryota; Metazoa; Chordata; Aves; Anseriformes; Anatidae. The record is from Rfam.